CCUACGGGGGGCUGCAGUGGGGAAUAUUGGACAAUGGGGGGAACCCUGAUCCAGCCAUGCCGCGUGUGUGAAGAAGGCCCUCGGGUUGUAAAGCACUUUCAGUGAGGAAGAACGCCUGGUGGUUAAUACCCAUCAGGAAAGACAUCACUCACAGAAGAAGCACCGGCUAACUCCGUGCCAGCAGCCGCGGUAAUACGGAGGGUGCGAGCGUUAAUCGGAAUUACUGGGCGUAACGCGCGCGUAGGUGGCUUGAUAAGCCGGUUGUGAAAGCCCCGGGCUCAACCUGGGAACGGCAUCCGGAACUGUCAAGCUAGAGUGCAGGAGAGGAAGGUAGAAUUCCCGGUGUAGCGGUGAAAUGCGUAGAGAUCGGGAGGAAUACCAGUGGCGAAGGCGGCCUUCUGGACUGACACUGACACUGAGGUGCGAAAGCGUGGGUAGCAAACAGGAUUAGAUACCCGAGUAGUC
This 465-nucleotide ribosomal RNA is filed under the name Vreelandella stevensii. Its description in RNAcentral is "partial 16S ribosomal RNA". It matches the Rfam family "Bacterial small subunit ribosomal RNA", at positions 338 to 795 of the family's 1533-position model. The record is from RNAcentral. Lineage: Bacteria; Pseudomonadati; Pseudomonadota; Gammaproteobacteria; Oceanospirillales; Halomonadaceae.